This is a long non-coding RNA of Lagopus leucura (white-tailed ptarmigan), 889 nucleotides long. RefSeq lists it as uncharacterized. Lineage: Eukaryota; Metazoa; Chordata; Aves; Galliformes; Phasianidae. The record is from RefSeq and is a predicted model, not a curated record. The transcript has 3 exons.
UUGUGUGUGGUAUAGCACGUGGAAUUCAGUUGGUAUCUUAUAGAUUUUAUCAGUUAUUUGCCUGAUUGUUCAGACUGCUGAGAUGAUUUCAUGUCUUGUGGUGUUGCAGUUUGAGUCCCACUGGACUGGAACAGGAAGCAGUCAGUGGAUUUGCUGAGAAUGAGAAUACAGCCUGGAACCCUUGGAUGACAGUGAAUGUUACAUGUAGGACUGAACUGAAGGCUUUGUUCCCCUUAUACCUUAUCUUACAAUUAAAAGAGCUACGUUGGUUAAGGUUGUGGCACUCAGCAACAAAUUGGAUGAAAUCUGUGAUUCAGGUGGAUGAUAAGACUGUAACUGCUGUGCCUGGAUGAAAUUAGGAAAUUCUGGACAACGUGAGGUAAGUUAUUUGCGGUGUUCUGUAGGCACUAUAGUCACAAGUAAUGACCAACACUGUGUAUCCCACCACACUGCUUUGUUUCAGUAUUUCUGUACUUUGCAGUGGCAUGAGAGCUGUGAUUGUAAAAUGAAGGAGAGGAAAGAAAAAUCGAGCUGUGCCCUUUGCAAAUCUUUUGUGGGACUCUUCUUGGCUUGAGGUGGAAACAGCAGCAGCCCCUGCACGGAUUCAUCUUGUGCCAGUGUUCCCAGUUAACAGUGGUUUAGUGCACAGUGGUUUUGAUUGUGUGCAUACAUGAACACUCUUCCCCCCCGACGUAAGGAAACUGCAUCUGUAUUUCAUAUGAGCAACACAGUGUAAAGUGGGAACUCUCACAUUUGUUGUGCUAUUUUAAGAUACCCUUUACAAACAUAAUCUCACCAUAUAGUGCUUCUGGUACUCUGUGUGUACUUAUACACCAUCAGAGACCUCCUGCAUAUCAGCAUUGCCCUCCUGCAGGGUCUCUGCUUACUG